GUAGGCGGCAAGCGUUGUCCGGAAUUAUUGGGCGUAAAGCGCGCGCAGGCGGUUCUUUAAGUCUGAUGUGAAAGCCCACGGCUCAACCAUGGAGGGUCAUUGGAAACUGGAGAACUUGAGUACAGAAGAGGAAAGCGGAAUUCCACGUGUAGCGGUGAAAUGCGUAGAGAUGUGGAGGAACACCAGUGGCGAAGGCGGCUUUCUGGUCUGUAACUGACGCUGAGGCGCGAAAGCGUGGGGGAGCAAACAGGAUUAGAUACCCUGGUAGUCCACGCCGUAAACGAUGAGUGCUAAGUGUUAGGGGGUUUCCGCCCCUUAGUGCUGCAGCUAACGCAUUAAGCACUCCGCCUGGGAGUACGGCCGCAAGGCUG
Molecule: ribosomal RNA, 371 nt
Filed under: uncultured organism
Description: partial 16S ribosomal RNA
Rfam family: Bacterial small subunit ribosomal RNA
Source: RNAcentral